Pongo pygmaeus (Bornean orangutan) is the source of this 218-nucleotide small nucleolar RNA. RefSeq annotates it as small nucleolar RNA U3. The transcript has a single exon. Lineage: Eukaryota; Metazoa; Chordata; Mammalia; Primates; Hominidae. The record is from RefSeq and is a predicted model, not a curated record.
AAAACUAUACUUCCAGAGAUCAUUUGUAUAGUUUGUUACUAGAGAAGUUUCCCUGAAUGCGUACAGUACUGGAAGCCCUGAAUAAGAGAUGCAGGUUUUUUUCUUUUGAGUGUGAAGUUUGCUUUCGGUGUUGUUUCAGUAUGACUGCCGUGAGCUGUUGAUGAUCGUUCUUGUCUUCUGUUUGGAGAGUAAGAGAGAGAAAACGCAGUCUGAGUGGU